This 468-nucleotide ribosomal RNA is filed under the name uncultured bacterium. RNAcentral's name for it is "partial 16S ribosomal RNA". It matches the Rfam family "Bacterial small subunit ribosomal RNA", at positions 28 to 507 of the family's 1533-position model. The record is from RNAcentral.
GACGAACGCUGGCGGCGUGCUUAACACAUGCAAGUCGAACGGAAAGGCCCUGCUUUUGUGGGGUGCUCGAGUGGCGAACGGGUGAGUAACACGUGAGUAACCUGCCCUUGACUUUGGGAUAACUUCAGGAAACUGGGGCUAAUACCGGAUAGGAACUCCUGCUGCAUGGUGGGGGUUGGAAAGUUUCGGCGGUUGGGGAUGGACUCGCGGCUUAUCAGCUUGUUGGUGGGGUAGUGGCUUACCAAGGCUUUGACGGGUAGCCGGCCUGAGAGGGUGACCGGCCACAUUGGGACUGAGAUACGGCCCAGACUCCUACGGGAGGCAGCAGUGGGGAAUAUUGCACAAUGGGCGGAAGCCUGAUGCAGCAACGCCGCGUGCGGGAUGACGGCCUUCGGGUUGUAAACCGCUUUCGCCUGUGACGAAGCGUGAGUGGCGGUAAUGGGUAAAGAAGCACCGGCUAACUACGUG